Ficedula albicollis (Collared flycatcher) is the source of this 1651-nucleotide long non-coding RNA. Lineage: Eukaryota; Metazoa; Chordata; Aves; Passeriformes; Muscicapidae. The record is from Ensembl.
AUCUCCACUGGGAAAUCUCCACCAGGGAAUCUCCACCGGGGAAUCUCCACCAGAAUCUCCACUGGGGAAUCUCCACCAGGAAAUGUCCACCAGAAUCUCCACUGGGGAAUCUCCACCAGGGAUUUGUGUCUCUUUGUGUCUCUGGAGAAGCCAAACUCCCCGUGCAAGAGCUCAGGUUCCCCAACAGGGCUCGUGUUUUAGGAACUCAAUCCAUGGAGGGGCCAAAACCCCCCUCUGGGGCAGAACUGGAGCGACAGGAGCGGGGCUGGAAUCGUCACUGGGACACAGAAACCCAAAAUACCGGCGGGAGGGGCAGGCGCACCCUGGCAUGGGAAGGAGGGAAUUCCGGGGGAAUUCUGGCUGGAUUCUGGGGAAUGAGGAUAAAAGCCCCGCUGGAAANCCGGGGCCCCUCCUGUCCCUCAGUUCCUCAUUGCCUAACGAGGCUGAUUUAGAUUAUCUCGCUAAUGAGUCAUUAGAUUCUCGAGCUCGGGGCUCGUUAAGGAACCUUUGUCCCGCCCCCCCCCCCCCCCCCCCCCCCCCCCCUUUGUCCCGCCUCUUCCUUCCGGAAACCCGGGCCGCUUUUGGUGAGAACACCCAGAAUCUGGGGACAAACCCAUUUUCCAAAGUAUUCAUCUAUAAAAUAAUUAAGAAACUGAGGUUAAUUAGCCUCGAGCAGCCCCAGGUUUAAUUUCUAUUUGGUCCAGCUCCUCCCUGCUCUAAACUCUUUUCUCCCCCCAUGCUCUGUCCAGUUUUUAUUUAUUUUGGGGGUUUUUCCUCCCCAAACCCAUCCCGGGACGAAGCCGUUUGUGAUUAAUUAACCCCAGGGAACGUGAUUAAUUAACCCCAGCACGAGAGACUUUUGCUGGGGACGUGGCUCUGUGUCCCCUCCUGUCCCUCAAACCCUCCCCAGCUGCUGCUCAGGCAAACAGCUCGAAGGGAAUCCAGCCCAGAGCGGCUCAUUUUGGGCGGCUCUCAGUGGUCCUGGGGCGUUUCCAGCGUGGCGUGGGUUGGGACAACGUGGAUGCACUUUUUUUUCCUGGAUUUCACCCCAAUUUUCCUUGGGUUUCACCCCAAUCAGUGAUUUAAAGCUGGAGCUGUUUGUGCCCCGCCAGGAAUUGCGAAACUGUCGCUGCUGGAGUUGUUUUGAAAUAACCAAAAUCAGCCAAAAUUUUUUUCCCCCCCCCCCCCAGUUUUGGUCCUUUUCUCGCCCAGAUUUUUCCCUUCCACAACCCAGGGCUGGAUUUUGGGGUGUUCCAGUUUUAAUUCCCCCCAUUCAUCCCCCUCUGCUCCAGUCCUGGAAAAGCUCCUUUAAUUUGUCAGAUUUUGGGGGGUUUUUUUACCAUGAAAAUGUGAUUUUCUUUUUAUCACCCCUCUCCUCCUUCCCCUCUCCCCUCCCUCCUGCACCUCUCACACCACACUUGCAACAAACCCCUAAAACUAUCCCCAAAAUUAUUGUCAUUAUCACUGAAAUUAUCCCAAAUAUCGCUUUAUCCCUGAAACGUUUUUUUUUUCCCCCCCAAUCUCAUCUCCUGCAGAUCGGCCCCCCCCCCCCCCCCCCCCCCCCCCCCCCCCCCCCCCCCCCCCCCCCCCCCCCCCCCCCCCCCCCCCCCCCCCCCCCCCCCCCCCCCCCCCCCCCCCCCCCCCCCCCCCC